Molecule: ribosomal RNA, 484 nt
Filed under: uncultured bacterium
Lineage: Bacteria
Description: partial 16S ribosomal RNA
Rfam family: Bacterial small subunit ribosomal RNA
Source: RNAcentral
AUUGAACGCUGGCGGCAGGCCUAACACAUGCAAGUCGAGCGGUUGAAGGGUGCUUGCUCCUGGAUUCAGCGGCGGACGGGUGUGUAAUUCCUAGGUAUCUGCCUGUUAGUGGGGGAUAACGUCCGUAAACGGGCGCUAAUACCGCAUACGUCCUUAGGUUGAAAGUGGGGGUUCUUCGGUCCUCUCGCUUUCUGAUGUGCCUAGGUCGGAUUAGCUAGUUGGUGGGGUAAAGUCCUACCAAGGCGACGAUCCGUAACUGCUCUGAGAGGAUGAUCAGUCACACUGGAACUGAGAAACGGUCCAGACUCCUACGGGAGGCAGCAGAGGGGAAUAUUGGACAAUGGGCGAAAGCCUGAGACAGCCAUGCCGCGUGUGUGAAGAAGGUCUUCGGAUUGUAAAGCACGGUAAGUUGGGAGGAAGGGCAGUAAGUUAAUACCUUGCUGUAUUGACGUUAACAACAGAAAAAGCACCGGCUAACUACGUG